This is a long non-coding RNA of Macrosteles quadrilineatus (aster leafhopper), 521 nucleotides long. RefSeq lists it as uncharacterized. Lineage: Eukaryota; Metazoa; Arthropoda; Insecta; Hemiptera; Cicadellidae. The record is from RefSeq and is a predicted model, not a curated record. The transcript is spliced from 2 exons.
UUGAAAAUUUACAGUCUGUGCGAAAAGAAACAGAUUAGUCCUGCCUUUGCCCCAGUUCUGUAACUUGGCCAUGAGAAUUGAUAACAAACUUCCUGGACUGAAAUUGUUUACAGUUUCUCUCAAAGAUAAGAGCUGUUAUAAAUUUCUACAACAUUUAAUUCAAUAAAACUGUCUCUACUUGUGGGAAAAAUCUGUAACUAGUGGGCUACACUUUGCCAUGAUGAGAUUUGCUCUGUUGGGGCUUCUUGGAGUCUUCCUGCUGGUGAGCAGCUCUCUAGGGGUUCCUCUGCCGAGGGCCAUGGCAUGGCCCAACCCCACGUCUUUCAACUUCGGCAUGUUCAACCCUGGUCCUAACCCAGGCCCCAUCAGUAUCACCGGCCCUCGAAACCCUGUGCCUGACACUUUUUACUGACUCUCUUACUCUUUGGUUUGAAUUCAUUUAUUUAUUUGUAGUCUCAAAAAGUCAACAUGGAAACUUUUGUACAAACUGUGAUGGUUCAAAAAUAAAAUUUUAUUAAAUA